CGAUUGUGAAUUGAACAGUAGAUUUCAGCAAAUUGAGAUUUUGAUCUGAAGUGGGUUUUUACGGAAAAUAUGUAAUUUGUUACAUCUACUUCAGACUAAAGUACCAAACGUUUCUGUUACAACAAUGCUUAAAAAUUUGAAGUCGUGCAAUGAUGAAUCAAGGAUAUUUUCUAUUCUAUACGUCCUACAUUACUUGUUUCCACCUUAGGAGCCCAAACCAGAAAAAAGUUUACCGUUACAGAUUCCCAUAAUUCGUUUGCCACAGUUGCAGAAACUAAAGAGAAG
This is a long non-coding RNA of Lucilia sericata (common green bottle fly), 285 nucleotides long. RefSeq lists it as uncharacterized. Lineage: Eukaryota; Metazoa; Arthropoda; Insecta; Diptera; Calliphoridae. The transcript is spliced from 3 exons. The record is from RefSeq and is a predicted model, not a curated record.